RNAcentral lists this ribosomal RNA (489 nucleotides) under uncultured bacterium. RNAcentral describes it as "bacterial SSU rRNA". It matches the Rfam family "Bacterial small subunit ribosomal RNA", at positions 28 to 513 of the family's 1533-position model. The record is from RNAcentral.
GACGAACGCUGGCGGCGUGCCUAACACAUGCAAGUCGAACGGGGUAUUUCUUCGGAGAUACUUAGUGGCGAACGGGUGAGUAACGCGUGAGAAACCUGCCUUUCAGUGGGGGACAACAGUUGGAAACGACUGCUAAUACCGCAUAAUGUUAUUUAAGGGCAUCCUUGAAUAACCAAAGCUUUAUGUGCUGAAAGAUGGUCUCGCGUCUGAUUAGCUAGAUGGCGGGGUAACGGCCCACCAUGGCGACGAUCAGUAGCCGGUCUGAGAGGAUGAACGGCCACAUUGGGACUGAGAUACGGCCCAGACUCCUACGGGAGGCAGCAGCGGGGAAUCUUCCGCAAUGGACGAAAGUCUGACGGAGCAAUGCCGCGUGAGUGAUGAAGGUUUUCGGACCGUAAAGCUCUUUGUUUAUGACGAAUGUGCAUGAUGUGAACAAUGUUGUGUAAUGACGGUAGUAACGAAUAAGCCACGGCUAACUACGUGCCAGCA